RNAcentral lists this ribosomal RNA (368 nucleotides) under Matileola sp. DK-2014. Its description in RNAcentral is "partial 12S ribosomal RNA". Lineage: Eukaryota; Metazoa; Arthropoda; Insecta; Diptera; Keroplatidae. The record is from RNAcentral.
UAAAAUUUAAAUUAUAAAAUAUUAGAUUAGUAAUAAUAUAUAUAUAUAUAUUAAUAUAUGUUUGAAAUUUAAAAAAUUUGGCAGUAUUUUAUCUAAUUAGAGGAACUUGUUUUUGAAUUGAUAAUCCUCAUUAAAUCUUACUUAAAUUUUUAAAUUUAUAUACCGUCAUUGUAAAAAAAUCUUUUUAAAGUAAAAAUUUUUAAUAUAAAUAAAAUUUUAUAUUUUAGAUCAAGGUGUAAUUUAUAUUUAAGUUAAAAUGAGUUACAAUAAAUAUAUUUAUGGAUUAUUUUUUGAAAAAAAAAUAUAAAAAUGGAUUUAAUAGUAAAUUUAAUAGAUUAAAUUAAAUUGAUUUAAGAUUUAAAAUGUGU